UACCAGCACCCCGAGUGGUCGGGACGAUUAUUGGGCCUAAAGCAUCCGUAGCCGGUUUUACAAGUCCUCCGUUAAAUCCAACUGCUUAACAGGUGGGCCGCGGAGGAUACUAUAAGACUAGGAGGCAGGAGAGGCAAGCGGUACUCAGUGGGUAGGGGUAAAAUCCGUUGAUCCAUUGAAGACCACCAGUGGCGAAGGCGGCUUGCCAGAACGCACUCGACGGUGAGGGAUGAAAGCUGGGGGAGCAAACCGG
Molecule: ribosomal RNA, 253 nt
Filed under: uncultured bacterium
Lineage: Bacteria
Description: partial 16S ribosomal RNA
Rfam family: Archaeal small subunit ribosomal RNA
Source: RNAcentral